AGGGUUCGAUUCUGGCUCAGGAUGAACGCUGCGGGCGUGCUUACACAUGCAAAGUCGNANCGGAUCCAUCAAGCUUGCUGGUGGUGAGAGUGGCGAACGGGUGAGUAAUGCGUGACCGACCUGCCCCAUACACCGGAAUAGCUCCUGGAAACGGUGGUAAUGCCGGAUGCUCCAGUGNAUCGCAUGUUCUUCUGGGAAAGCUUUCGCGGUAUGGGAUGGGGUCGCGUCCUAUCAGCUUGACGGCGGGGUAACGGCCCACCGUGGCUUCGACGGGUAGCCGGCCUGAGAGGGCGACCGGCCACAUUGGGACUGAGAUACGGCCCAGACUCCUACGGGAGGCAGCAGUGGGGAAUAUUGCACAAUGGGCGCAAGCCUGAUGCAGCGACGCCGCGUGAGGGAUGGAGGCCUUCGGGUUGUAAACCUCUUUUAUCGGGGAGCAAGCGAGAGUGAGUUUACCCGUUGAAUAAGCACCGGCUAACUACGUGCCAGCAGCCGCGGUAAUACGUAGGGUGCAAGCGUUAUCCGGAAUUAUUGGGCGUAAAGGGCUCGUAGGCGGUUCGUCGCGUCCGGUGUGAAAGUCCAUCGCUUAACGGUGGAUCCGCGCCGGGUACGGGCGGGCUUGAGUGCGGUAGGGGAGACUGGAAUUCCCGGUGUAACGGUGGAAUGUGUAGAUAUCGGGAAGAACACCAAUGGCGAAGGCAGGUCUCUGGGCCGUUACUGACGCUGAGGAGCGAAAGCGUGGGGAGCGAACAGGAUUAGAUACCCUGGUAGUCCACGCCGUAAACGGUGGAUGCUGGAUGUGGGGCCCGUUCCACGGGUUCCGUGUCGGAGCUAACGCGUUAAGCAUCCCGCCUGGGGAGUACGGCCGCAAGGCUAAAACUCAAAGAAAUUGACGGGGGCCCGCACAAGCGGCGGAGCAUGCGGAUUAAUUCGAUGCAACGCGAAGAACCUUACCUGGGCUUGACAUGUUCCCGACGGUCGUAGAGAUACGGCUUACGUUCGGGGCGGGUUCACAGGUGGGCA
RNAcentral lists this ribosomal RNA (1023 nucleotides) under human gut metagenome. Its description in RNAcentral is "bacterial SSU rRNA". It matches the Rfam family "Bacterial small subunit ribosomal RNA", at positions 8 to 1044 of the family's 1533-position model. The record is from RNAcentral.